UUCAGACUGUAGCAGGAGUGAUGCCCUCUCCCCAUGGUCCAUCAAGCUCUAUCUACAAGAUGAGUCUCAGGUGACUGAGUACCAUCCUCUAGAUGGGAGCAGGGAGGGAUAUAAAAUAGAAAUGUUGACAAGGCAAAGAGAAUGAUGCCCCCAAGGCCAUUGUGGUUCUACAGACUUAUGUUUGUGCUCGAGUUAGAGCAGGAUGAGGUUGGAGAUGAGGCUUAUUGAGUUACAGGGGAUAGCGGUAGUUCCGAAAGGACAGGGACAUCUGGUUUUCGGAAGGCAUCUUGGAGAUUUCAUCACGGGGCAAUUGAAGCUCAGAGAGAAGUGGCUUGACCAAGGCCCCACAGCGGGCUCCAAUACAGCUCUGAAAGGCACUGAGAAAACCUAACAUAUCUGAGGGCCUAGCUUCUGGCCUGGCUUUUACAUGGUCAGUGGAUGUGCAUCCAUGCCCCCUGCACUCGUUUCCCUUGUCCUUUCUGUGGCUCUCCUGGAUUCCUCUCUUUCAGCUUCUUGGUGUACAGAGCCCAUGUCAAUGGCAAUGGUGAAGGAAAUUGCCAGAGCCCUGCCCUCCAGGCCUGUCCUUAUUCAUGGGGAUCUGAGAAGAAGAGAUUAGGACCCAGACAUGCACAGAGGAGACCCUGUAAGGACACAAGGAGAAGACAGCCAUCUACAAGCCAAGAAGAAAGGCCUUGGGAGAAACCAGCCCUGCCCACACCUUGAUCUGGACUUCAGCUGAUUCUUGGAUGAGGUGGUCCUUAGGCGCGGAGACAGGACUGUGAGAAAAUAAAUUUCGUUUUUAAUUCA
Molecule: long non-coding RNA, 807 nt
Organism: Nomascus leucogenys (northern white-cheeked gibbon)
Lineage: Eukaryota; Metazoa; Chordata; Mammalia; Primates; Hylobatidae
Exons: 4
Source: RefSeq, a predicted model, not a curated record